RNAcentral lists this ribosomal RNA (1129 nucleotides) under uncultured soil eukaryote. RNAcentral describes it as "SSU rRNA". It matches the Rfam family "Eukaryotic small subunit ribosomal RNA", at positions 35 to 1188 of the family's 1831-position model. The record is from RNAcentral.
UUUCGAAGACUAAGCCAUGCAUGUCUAAGUAUAAGUUUUUAUACAACGAAACUGCGAAUAGCUCAUUAAAACAAUUAUAGUCUAUGUGGAAAUCUUUACUACACGGAUACCUGUGGUAAUUCUGGAGCUAAUACGUGCCUAAAACAUCCAUUAGGAUGUCACUUAUUAGAUUAGAACCAAACUGUGCUUGCACAGUCGCCUGGUGAUCCAUAAUAAGGUCGUGAAUCGCAUGGUUAAGGCCGGCGAUGUUCCACACGAGUUUUUGACUUAUCAGCUAGACGAUAGGGUAUUGUCCUAUCGUGGCAUUGACGAGUAACGGGGAAUUAGGGUUUGAUUCCGGAGAGGGAGCCUGAGAAACAGCUACCACUUCCACGGAAGGCAGCAGGCGCGCAAAUUGUCCAAUCUCAAUACAUUGGGGAGACAGUGAAAAGAAAUAUCAGUGCAGGGCCUUUCGGCUUUGCAAUUGGAAUGAGUUAAAUUUAAACCCUUUUACAAGUAUCAAUUGGAGGGCAAGUCUGGUGCCAGCAGCCGCGGUAAUUCCAGCUCCAAUAGCGUAUAUUAAAGUUGUUGCAGUUAAAACGCUCGUAGUUGAAAGUCUGCUUAUGACAACGGGUCAUCCCUCACGGGCAUGUACUCUUUGUCACUGGCAUUAUUACGAUGCAUUCAACGGGUAACCGUUGUGUGUGUUCGUAAACGUUACUUUGAGAAAAUUAGAGUGUUUCAAGCAGGCGCAACGCCUUGAAUACUUCAGCAUGGAAUAACAAUUAAGGACUUAGGGCCUUUUGUUGGUUCAAGGACCUGAGUAAUGAUUAAGAGGAACAGUCGGGGGUAUUCGUACUUGGUCGUCAGAGGUGAAAUUCUUAGAUUGACUGAAGACGAACUACUGCGAAGGCAUCUACCAUGGAUGUUUUCAUUAAUCAAGAACGAAAGUUAAGGGAUCGAAGAUGAUCAGAUACCAUCGUAGUCUUAACCAUAAACUAUGCCGACUAGAGAUCGGAAGUUGCCAAUCAUAUGACUUUUUCGGCACCUUAUGAGAAAUCAAAGUCUUUGGGUUCUGGGGGAAGUAUGAUCGCAAGGUUGAAACUUAAAGGAAUUGACGGAAGGGCACCACCAGGAGUGGAGCCUGCGG